CCAAUCUACAUGAUCCACCGGAUCAAUUUUUUUUUUUUUGGUUUUUUUUCACUUUUUGUUCCACAAACGACGUCUUUGGCAUUCCUAAACUCUCACAUUCCUCCCUCAACGUCACUAAACUGAACCUGGAACUCUCUCAUCCCUGUCACUGCUGUCGCACCCAAACUCCCUCCCUCUCUCGGCUCCGGUCUCUCUCACUGUCUCCGGUGUCGCCAUCAAGCUCGUUGUCAUUCUCUCGGAUCGGGUAUCUCUCACGGUCUCGCGCGCCUUUCCUGCCGUCGUCGUCGCCGGCGGCAGAAGUAGCAGGUCCCGGCACUUCCUCCUCCCCGGCAGCAACUUUCGUCGUCAGCAACUCUCAUCAUCAUCUUCCUUCACGCAACCAGAAACUGGUCUUAAUUUGGAUGCAAUGAAAGUUGAUUUGUGAAUUUCACUUGUGAUUGCGGUGGCAGCAGUAGAAAGUGUGUUUUUGUUAUGGCCGAUGAUAUUAUAAACCAAAUAUUUGAAAUAUCGGAUGCAGCUUAUAACUUAUAUGUAAGUUAUGCGAGGUGUGUCGGGUUUGGAGUUCGCAAGGGUGAUACACCGUGUGGGAAAGAUGGAACACAACGUAGAAGGCAAUUUUUUUUGCAACAAGAAAGGAAAGUGAGCCAAGAAAUACAUCUCUACUUCGAAUAGAAAGAGGGAGUAUAAAGCAUUGACUCGUACUGGUUGUGAAGCCAUGCUUGCGGUGUACUUUGACACGAAAACUUCGACUUGAAGGAUUAAAAAAUUAGUUGAGAAGCACAACCAUGAUCUUGUCCCACAAUGCUUGGUACACCUAAUUCCAAACCACCGAGAGUUGACUGAAGCACACAAAGCUCAGGUGAACACCAUGCAUGAUAAUUGUCUUCCAACCUCUAAAAUAAUGGGACUCAUGGUAGGCCAAUCCGGUGGGUAUGCUAAUGUUGGAUUCACAAAGAAGGACUUGGAUAACCACAUUCAAAGAACUCGUCGUGCAAAGCUUAUUGAUGGGGAUUCCAAUGUGACAAUAAGCUAUCUACUUGGAAAAGCCGAUGUUGACCCAUGGCCAUGGCAAGGUAUAGUGCUACUGAUGAAAAUCUGCUAGCGAAUUUAUUUUAGGCAGAUGGCAUUUGUAGGGCUGAUUAUCAGUGCUUUAGAGAGGUGUUUGCAUUUGAUACAACCUAUCGAAAGAAUAAGUACAGAAGGCCAUUGGUAAUCUUCUCGGGUUGUAACCAUCACCGCCAAACAUGCAUAUUUGGCUUUGCCUUAAUAGAGGGUGAACAAACGACAACAUAUAUAUGAUUGUUGCAAAACCUUCUAGAAGUCAUCUUGAACAAGUCUCCCGUGGUCACAAACGGUGACAAGGCAAUGAAGGCAGCAAUUCAAGAAAUCUUCUCAAAUGCAACUCACUGAUUAUGUGGUUGGCACAUUCAAAAAAAUUUAAUGGCAAACAUAAAAACCAAAAAUUUUUCUGACGACUUCAGAAAAUAUUUGUAUGCUCCAUGGCAUCUUGAUGAAUUUGAAGAAUAUUGGAAGAAUAAGCUAAAAAAGUAUGAGUUGGAAGAAAAUUGUUGAGUUCUAAAUGAAUAUGAAAAGAAGAAAAGGUGGGCAAGUGCUUACUUGAGGGAUAAAUUCUGUGUUGGAUUUAGAACAACAUCAAGGUGUGAGAGAGGUUUAUUGGCAUUCGCCAAAGUCUUCUAGAGUUGGUCUAAAUUCUUGAACAUGCUCUUAGGCACUACAGAAACAAUGAAUUAGUUUCUCAAUUUAAGAUGGUGUAUGGGGAUCCCAUUCUAACUACUGGGGUAGAAGCAUUGAAGCUUUGUGCUGCAAAUUUUUACACAAAGGAGAUUAUUGGAAAAAUAAAACUGGAGAUUCAAGGAGUGGUUGCAUUAGAUAUAAUUAAUGAGAAAAACAUAUCAACUAUUAUUGUGUUAAAAGUUAAGGAGUAUAAAAAAGAGGCAACAUAUAUACAACGUAUUUUAUGAUCGUAAUACUGAGAAUAUGGAGUGUGAAUAUAAUCCAUGAAAUAGUAAAGGUAUCCUUGCAGCCACAUGUUUUGUGCCAUGAAAAUGGUAGAUUUACAGAAGUUGCCAAAAAGUCUUCUUUUGAAAAGAUGGUCCAAAGAUGCUAAUAAGUAUUUGGACGAAAGUUCUGCUAGAGGCACUGCGUAAGACAGAGAAAGAUAAUUUUCAAUGCGCUAUGACGCAUUGUCAGUGGCAACUACAUGGAUGUUAUUCUUAGGAGCUCAAGAUGGUCCUUCUUUCCAUGAUGCUAUGAAUGAAGUUUGUCGGUUGACCAAAACGAUAGAGCAAAAAUCUUGUUUGAAAAGACAAAUAAGAGAUUCUUCCAUGUCAAACUUUGCUAGUGACCUUUCAGUGGUCACUGGUCAAGACAAAAGGUGCACCCAGGAGAAGAAAAGAAAGAGGUAAACGGAGGUGCACUAAAUCCAAGAGUGCUGGUCAUGUAAAGAAGAAAUGUCAUGUGAGGAAUGACGGUGGUGAUUCGGGUGAUAAGACUGGCAGUGGCACGCAAGCUAGCUUUUGGGUAAAGAAGAAGUUAGUAAGAUACAAUAUUACAGUAGGGGUUACUUGAAUAAAAAUAAAUUGAUAAAUUCUAUGUUGUAUUUAUACCUGAUGACAAUUUUGACUGCAUGUCUUCUUUUUUCAUAGGAACUUCCCAGAGACCCUGAGGCUUCCCAAGGGAUAUCAGCAGUGCCAAAUACAAAAGUAGAUACUUCUGUGCAGUUAGAGUUUAGGCUAGGUGAUUCAGGAUUGAAUAAUAGUCAUGGGGCUCUCAUCCCACCAUAUGGAAGUCAUCAGUAGUUAUUAUAGGUUGUACAACAAGGACAAUAUCCAAAGUCUAACGACAUGCAGUAGCAUUACCUAGUAUAGUGUGAUGAGAGUAUAGUUUGAGAUGCUAUUUAAAUUUUCAAAUUUUAAUUAGUAGUGCACUGAGGUUGAUAGAAAAAUUUCUAUUAUGAAAA
Arachis duranensis is the source of this 2980-nucleotide long non-coding RNA. RefSeq lists it as uncharacterized. The record is from RefSeq and is a predicted model, not a curated record. The transcript has 3 exons. Lineage: Eukaryota; Viridiplantae; Streptophyta; Magnoliopsida; Fabales; Fabaceae.